This is an RNA transcript of Xenopus laevis (African clawed frog), 1835 nucleotides long. It is a transcript of the gene named CWC27 spliceosome-associated protein S homeolog, with no coding region annotated. The record is from RefSeq and is marked provisional. The transcript has 15 exons. Lineage: Eukaryota; Metazoa; Chordata; Amphibia; Anura; Pipidae.
GUUUACUUUCGGCCACAAGAGAAAGGUGGUAGUACAAGCAAUACAACAGAAAUACUACUCUUGUGGAGCGCUAGACACUUGUUAUCUUGGAGCUUUCAGGUCGGAAAAUGUGUACAAUAAUAUAAUUAGGUGGGGCGCCUUUUUUUUUGUCUGUUUAGCAGUGAUUCUGAAAUCAGAAUUUUCUCGGACACCCCUCUGGGGCUGGAUGUGGGCGAUUCCGUGCUGUCAGGUUGCACGCUGGAGUUUGUUUGCAAGAAGCUGAACAACAAUGAGUAAUAUUUAUAUUCAGGAGCCACCGUCAAACGGCAAGGUUUUGCUGAAAACAACUGCUGGAGAAAUUGAUAUUGAAUUGUGGUCAAAAGAGGCGCCAAAAGCAUGCCGAAACUUCGUCCAGCUGUGCUUAGAAGGUUAUUAUGAUAACACCAUAUUUCACAGAGUUGUUCCAGAGUUUAUUAUUCAAGGGGGAGAUCCUACAGGUACUGGAACAGGAGGUGAAUCUGUGUUCGGUAAACCUUUUAGGGAUGAAUUCCAUUCACGUCUCCGGUUUAAUCGCCGAGGACUGGUUGCCAUGGCAAACGCUGGACCUCACGAUAAUGGAAGCCAAUUUUUCUUUACUCUUGGUCGUGCCGAUGAGCUUAAUAACAAGCAUACCAUCUUUGGAAAGGUGACUGGUGACACCAUAUAUAAUAUUCUGAGACUAGCAGAGGUUGAUAUUGGAGAGGAUGAGAGACCUGUCAACCCACACAAGAUAAAAUGCACAGAGGUGCUUUUUAAUCCCUUUGAUGACAUAAUCCCCAGAAUAGAUAAAAAGACAAAAAAGGAUGAAGAAGAGGAAGGCAAGAAGUCCAAAGCAAAAGGCACAAAGAAUUUUAAUUUGCUUUCUUUUGGAGAAGAAGCAGAGGAGGAUGAGGAAGAGGUGAAUGAAGUCAGCAAGGUCAUGAGAGGCAAAAGUAAAAGCAGCCACGAUCUCUUGAAAGAUGACCCCCGACUCAGUUCCGUUCCAGCAGUGGAAAGAGAAAAAGAUUCUCAGAGUGCAGACAGUGACAAAGAUGAGGAUGAAAUGAGUGAUGAUGAUGAUGAUGAAGAAGAAGAUGAUGAAAUGGAUAGUGAUGAGAAGCAUCAGAUGAAAGACCGUAUUUCCAACAAGCUCAGAAAAGACCCAAGCAAAUCCAUAAAACAAGCAGAAAAUUCUGAUGAAGCAGAGGAAAGAAAAAGUAGCCGCAGUGAAGAAUUAAGAAGAGAAGCACGUCAGCUAAAACGGGAGCUAAAAGCAGCAAAAGAAAAAAAAGAAAAUAAUAUAAAAGAAUCAGAGACUGCUAAGGAAGCUGAAAACACAGUUGCUAACAGCGCUCUGGAAGAAUACCUUAAGGAAAAGGAAAAGUAUGAAGAAGUCAGAAAGAAAAAUACAAACAAAGGGGUAUCUAGGGAGCAGCAGACAUUAGCUCUUCUGGAUCGAUUCAAAUCAAAGCUCACACAAGCAAUUACUGAACCACCAAAAGAGGAAGAAGCGUCAGAUGUAGAUGAAGAGAAUGAUAAAGGAUGGGUGACCUUGAUUUCCUUUAAAUUUGUUUCUUUGUUCUAUGGGAAACCUGCUACUUAUCUUAUCCGUCUGGCUAACAAGUCAAACCCACUGGAAUAUAACAGAAAGAAAACCCGUAUAGCAUGUCUGGUUAUGUGAUUAAAAUGGAUGCCUAGGGGCAUUUCUAGGCACAGAGCCAAACCAAGAGAUUUCAACUACGUAUGGCUUGACUUUUAGGGAAUUAUUCCAUCCAUAACACAGUGCGUGCGUGAAAGGUUGUCUCACGUCCUGCAGUUUGAGGAGAAGAGCGGAAAGG